AGGACGAACGCUGGCGGCGUGCCUAACACAUGCAAGUCGAACGGGACCAGGGGCAACUCUGGUUCAGUGGCGGACGGGUGCGUAACACGUGAGGAACAUGACCUUGGCGGGGGGAUAGCCGGCCCAACGGCCGGGUAAUACCGCGUACGACCUUUUCGGGGACAUCCCUGGAUGGGUGAAAGCAGCAAUGCGCCGAUGGAGUGCCUCGCGGCCUAUCAGCUAGUUGGUGAGGUAACGCUCACCAAGGCAACGACGGGUAGCUAGGUCUGAGAGGAUGGCCAGCCACAUUGGGACUGGAGACACGGCCCAGACUCCGUACGGGAGCCAGCGAGGUAGGGGAA
Molecule: ribosomal RNA, 341 nt
Filed under: uncultured soil bacterium
Lineage: Bacteria
Description: bacterial SSU rRNA
Rfam family: Bacterial small subunit ribosomal RNA
Source: RNAcentral